This 261-nucleotide ribosomal RNA is filed under the name uncultured bacterium. Its description in RNAcentral is "partial 16S ribosomal RNA". It matches the Rfam family "Bacterial small subunit ribosomal RNA", at positions 28 to 306 of the family's 1533-position model. The record is from RNAcentral.
GACGAACGCUGGCGGCGUGCUUAACACAUGCAAGUCGAGCGGUAAGGCCCUUUCGGGGGUACACGAGCGGCGAACGGGUGAGUAACACGUGGGUGACCUGCCUUCUGGUACGGAACAACCAAGGGAAACUCUGGCUGAUACCGUAUACGACCUCCGGGUGAAAGAUUGAUCGCCGGAAGAGGGGCCCGCGUCCGAUUAGGUAGUUGGUGAGGUAACGGCUCACCAAGCCUGCGAUCGGUAGCUGGUCNGAGAGGAUGACCA